Photinus pyralis (common eastern firefly) is the source of this 2216-nucleotide long non-coding RNA. RefSeq lists it as uncharacterized. The transcript has 2 exons. NCBI's taxonomy places the organism in Eukaryota, Metazoa, Arthropoda, Insecta, Coleoptera, Lampyridae. The record is from RefSeq and is a predicted model, not a curated record.
UUUUGGCGAAUUUGGGCUGCAGUGUUUCAUCUUUACAAGGCUUGAUGGUUCUUCCAGGGAAAGACUGAAUUAAUGAGGCUAAAGGAUUGCAGAAAGGCGGCCUCAUAAAGGUAGGAUUUUUCCUUUUCUGCAUGGUGUAUUGCUUUUCAUAUUUUCUUGUAAGGGGGGUUAAAGUGAAUAGUGAAUAUAUUAACAAGAAGGAAGAUCAACAAUUGCUCUUCGCAUGAGUUUCGUGUUAAUAACUCUACGCAAGUUGUAACAAUCUUCUCUGUCUGUCACCCUUGUGACAUAGUAUUGGAUUAUUAUACUUUCGUUUGUUAUUGCACCAAGUUCAGCUUAGAGGAAGGUAAGUGCGUGUUCAUAAUAUAUUAAUGAAUUACUUCAUAAACAAAACAAAAAUUGUACUUGAACUCGCAUUACAUGGUUACCUGAUUACUAAUCUCGUCGAUUGUUACAGUCCCAUCGGACUUCACUCAACCUGUGAGAAUUACGCCUACCACCAGUGCUGGGUUAAGGGUUUCUGAGCUAGGGGAACCUACAAAAGCCUCCCCCCCCCCCACUACCUUGUCAACUAAAUUUUCAAACUUUUUGAUUCCUUUGUUUAUUUAGAAAAACAGUGUUGUACCACUCAAUAUUUUUUGUCACUUUGAAAAUUUUAAAAUUAUUAUUUCUAUGCCUUUUCUCUGCCAAUAGAAUCGUGUGCUAUACAGGUUGUCCAAAAAGUAUGGAAUAUCGUAUGGUAAACAUCAAUAUUUUCAAAAAUGUUUCAAAUAACUUAUUUGGUACCUAUUUAAUUUCUCAUCACAUGGAAUUUUUUAUUUUUUAAUUUUUUUUAAACAAAAGCGCAACAGGUAAUUUUUUUAAUGAUCUAACUUAAUUGAUAGAGUUUUUUAUUCCCUUUUCAAAAAUGUGAAAUAUUAAAAAAAUCAAGAAAAUCGCGAAAAACUGCGGGUGGGUGUAUUCCAAGAACGUCCAAGAAUGCUCAUUGAUCUUGCUACCCAUGACUGUUUUAUGCUAAUCUAGAUAUUGAAACAAGUGAACGCCCACCUAUCUAAAUUAGUAACUUUUCUCUUCAAGUUCACGUACUAUUGUCACAGUCGCAAUCAGUUGUUUCAAUAUCUAGAUGAGCACAAAACGAUCAUGAGUGACUAGAUGAACGUUGUUGAAAUACAUCUACACCCACUUUUUCUCGAUUUUCUCAAAAUUUACAAAACACUAUCAAAAAAGUUGGCAAAAGAAGUGUAUUGGAAUUCAAAAAAAAAAUUAUCUGUUGCACUUUUGUUAUAAAAAAAUAAAAUUCCAUGUGAUAAAAAAUUAAAUAAACAAUAUUUUAUAGGAUAUUCUAUACGUUUCGGACACCGUGUACAAAUACAAAGUCAUUUCAAAAAUCUUUAAUCAAUCGUCAAUACUGUCAGCAAACAAUUGAACUAGAAACUAAAUUUUGAAACUAUUUGGUCCCUUGGUUUAUUUACAAAAAAUUAUUGUUUUUACCGCCCAUUCUUUUUCGACAUACAUAUCAUUGUUAUUAUUAUAGUACUAGGGGUGGUCCCAGUCGGUUCUUUUACUGCGACAUUUUGGUCUAUUGGUGGCUUGGGUCUUCCAGCGUUCCUUCCAGGUCUUUCAUGGACCAAAAGCCAUUCUGAAGUCUCUAGCUGCUUCGCUAAAGGUUCUGGUAUCCUUUACGGCCCCAGUGUUUGCCUUUUUCGAGCUACUUUCCUUGGGAGUGCUGUCAUCAGACCGGUGUCCCUUUUGCGUCCCAGACUUCCGUAGGUGCGUUACCUGGUUGCUUAGAGCUCCCAUGUUGCCCCACUUCAUUAGGUGGAAGGUCAGGUUGCUUAAAGGUGCCUGGUUCCUACCCUUUUUUAGUUUCCGGUGCGCUACCCCGGAGAGUUCUAGUGGUAUGGUGCCACCCCUCUGUUUUCAAAAUACCUCUCUCUGAUUUACAUACACAGGGUGUUCCUACAUAUGAUGUAAAUACGCAAGGGCUUAUUUCAUGACUAAAAGUUCAUAUAAACAUAGGUUCGCAAACGCUUCGUUACCGAUCUACAGGGUGUUAAAAUUUCAAGGUUGUUUCAGUUUUUUCUUUUAUAUCUUCUGCAAUUUUUUAGAUAUUUUGCUCAAAUUUGAAAUCUAACUUAUGCUGAAGGGCUUACACCAUUGGUAGUGAGAAUCUACAGGGUGUUGUUUUUCAGGUGUCAUGUUCCAUUUUCUUCCAC